CCCGUGCCUCCCGUCCUCCCCCAAUCCCUGCCUCCUCUCACCUCCUCCUCCUCCUCUAGAGACAGCGGCGGCUCGGCCCUGCCCGGCCAUGGAGAUGGAGCUCAGCGCGGUUGGAGGUGAGACCAGCAGCUAGAGGCGUGGUUGCAGGGAGAAGGGAAGAGGCGCCGUCCGUCGAUCCGCUGCGCCGGCUUGCAGCGAGAUCAAGAAGGAGGGUGGAUGGCGGCGGCGACCGGAGGCGCCGGGCGCGGCCACAGAAGGGCCGACGCGCGGCGGAUCCGCGCAGGCAGUGACGCCCGAACAACGGGGGCUUUGCCGCCGCCGGCUGGACGCGGCAGCGUUGGGGACGGACGACGCGUCAACGCGGAGCAGCAGCAUGCUCUGGAUGCGGAAAAAGGAGGCGCAGGUCGUCGCGGGAGCUCCGACGGCGGCGGCGGUCAAACAGCAGAGUUGCCUCCUCACAGUGGAGGAUCUUCUCCAUCGACGGGCGAGAUCCGGGGUAGGGAUGGCCAGAUCGUUGCGGGCGGCGGAUUUCGAGCGUGGGCGACAGCGACCAUGAGUAUGGGUACCCGUCUUCUUCCCCAGCCAUUCGGUGACCAACGCCCCGAGCAACAACGGAUGCCAGCUGCUGCUUGGAGCCUGGUGGAGUCGGCGCCCUUGCUGCAGCCUACAGCCGUCUCCCCUUGCCCGCUGACUCAUGAUGCAAUCACAGCUGCCCGGGUCGAUCCACACUUCUCCCUUUGCUACAUAGAAACAGAUCAGUUGUUGAAAAUGUAUUAAAAAGAUAGAAGAGAGGGAAGCAGGCUGGACGUGUCAAACUAAAGUAAAUGUAGAUGAUUUCUACUCUGUGUACUGUGCAGAAGUCCAAAGAAGAUGUUGGGGCUUGGUCCUAGGAAGAGUUAGUGCGAAUAUUGUGGACAGUUUUGUCCAUAUACAGACCAAUUGCAAAGAGCCAGUUGACCAAGAAUUUUCAGAAGAUAACAGACCGUUCCCUCUUUUGGUGCAAGCACUGCUAGGUUCAGCAAAAUGAGUUAAUUUUCCUAUAAAACCAAUGCAUCUCUUUAGCUACAGGAGACCAAUGAAUUUAUGUUGAUCGGUUUGGAGGUGUCCAUACCCAGGAUGGUAUGGGCUGGAGCGGAGGAGCUUUGACGGCUUCGCCUCACCGCAGUGCACAUACAUGCUACUACUGUGGAUCUUUUGAGUUUCUACCAGCUGAAGGUGCAGCAAAUGACCUGGAAUUCACAAUGGUGGGUUUCCUUGCAGAAUCUCCUCUGCAGAGAGCCCCUGAAGCUUGUUCAUGGCAUCACUCCCACAUGAAUUGGUACUGAGCUGGAUGCUGAAGCACUUAAUUACCGUAUGUCGAGUGUCUCAAGAGACAGAAGAUGUACCUCAACGAUCUGUCCCAAAAACUGACAAAGUUGCUUGAAGCAUUUCUGGUUCAUGACACCUUCAUGAUAGGACUAUUAUCUGGUUGAAAUAUCUGGUAGACUAUCAGGUUAAAUUACCAAUGAGGUUGAUGCUAUUGUUUCCUGAAAUGGUACCAUUGGAAUAGAUCAGCUGCAUUGGUAGCGAUGACUGCAAAGCUGUGAUUUUAUCUCCAUUUGCUCUAGACUAUGUACAUCUCUAUGUCCCUGGAUUCUCCUUAUUUAUUUGAGUCAUUUGUACCAUCAGGUUUGCCUCCUUACUUGCUUGUUGUUUUAUGAGACAACAUGGGAUGUUACGAAGGUCGAUAAUGCCACCUCCUUCUCCCAUGUCAAUUUCUUCUUUAGAUCAUCCUUUUGUUCUUCCGGUUCAGCAUAGUUUAGUUUGAGGGUUCAGUACAGAAUACAAAUAUUUCAGAAUGAUAUAAUGAGACUUAAGCUCUGGCAUGCAGACCAGCUUGACCACCAUUGGAGAAAAUGGUAGGGGGCGGAUAUGUCAUUGUUUACUUUAGUUUUAGACAAAUGAAAAGCUUGAUUGUUGCCAAGUCAAAAGAACAUGUUAGACCUUGCAUUUGUGUACUUUUCUGGAUCCAGAUUAUGCUUGACACGGGUGGCUGGAGCCACUAUUGAUUUACAUAUUGCAGCAGACACAAAACACUUGCAGGCUAAAAUAAUAGGCCAAGCCUAGGACUUGGCCCUUUGGUCAUAUGAUGUUGCAAAGCUGAGCAACAUCAUUUCUUUUAGUUAGUUUCUCAAGAUCCACCUUUUUCUUUCCCGACCCUUUGGGAUCAGAAUUUUGGCCACUGCAAACCUUCUGCAUUGCUCUGAUUAGUUAGUGUUGGGCAAGUUUUAAAAAGUUCUCUCACAGAUUUUAUUUCGGUUGCAUGUGCUUUGCCCCUCGGAUCUUGUGACCAUGAUGUGGGUAAGCUCAAGGCUCAUCUGGUGUUUCCAGUUGAGUAGCUGGGCUGCCUCGUGCAUUCAGGUUGUCCCCUCAGUUCUUCUGUUAGCUGCUCUUAGAUGAGGCAUUCAAGCCCCAAAUAUCUCUCACACACACUCAGUCCCUCUGUUUGUUUUCCUGAGGUGCCUAUGAGAACUACAUAGAUAUAAUUCAAGUGGUUUGCUUUAGUUGUGGCAUUUAUGGCCUUAAUCAAGAUCCAUGUAGUGCUUUCCAUUGGCUCCAUGUUCUGCUAUAUACAUCUCCUGGUUCUAGGAUUUAGUAGGUUGCUUCUUGUCUCAUAUUGUACUGCGCUCUGGUUCUGUGCUCUUUUGAUGUGUUGAGGACGUGGUAUGGAUGGAUGAUGACGUAGAACAAGCGCAGCCCAGCCUUCUCUUUCCGAGAUCUGUGAGGCAAGCAUCCUUCCAUCGUUUAUGGAUUGCAGAAGGCACAGAAUGAGAUCGGCCCAGCCUUCUCUUACCUGGAUCAGCCAAGGGAGCAUCCUUCCAUGACAAUGGCCAAAUCAUGUACCGAUGUACGGACUCUGAUGUUGUCAACAACAACGGGCCUCUCGACAGUGUCGUGUACGGCCAAGUCAACACAUUCGCCUCAGGGGUUAUCCUGAUGGAGCUGAGAAGCGGCCGAGCCUCACUCUCCAAAGAUACAAGAGAUGUGGUGGACUACGUUAUGUAUAUUCAUAGCUCAUGGUUAUACUGUUUGGGGCCUGCUUGAUUAUGCACCGUUGGCCUUUUGUUAAACUUUUUUACUCAACUUUUGGCAUUUCUGAAGUUUAUUUAAGGAUACUGUGUUUAAAAAUCACCCUGCUAUAAUUUGUA
Long non-coding RNA from Lolium perenne, 3188 nucleotides. RefSeq lists it as uncharacterized. Lineage: Eukaryota; Viridiplantae; Streptophyta; Magnoliopsida; Poales; Poaceae. The record is from RefSeq and is a predicted model, not a curated record.